CCUACGGGAGGCAGCAGUGAGGAAUAUUGGUCAAUGGACGAGAGUCUGAACCAGCCAAGUAGCGUGAAGGAUGACUGCCCUAUGGGUUGUAAACUUCUUUUAUAUGGGAAUAAACUGUUCCACGUGUGGGAUUUUGUAUGUACCAUAUGAAUAAGGAUCGGCUAACUCCGUGCCAGCAGCCGCGGUAAUACGGAGGAUCCGAGCGUUAUCCGGAUUUAGUGGGUGUAAAGGGAGCGUAGGUGGUUUGUUAAGUCAGUUGUGAAAGUUUGCGGCUCAACCGUAAAAUUGCAGUUGAAACUGGCAGUCUUGAGUACAGUAGAGGUGAGCGGAAUUCGUGGUGUAGCGGUGAAAUGCUUAGAUAUCACGAAGAACUCCGAUUGCGAAGGCAGCUCACUGGACUGCAACUGACACUGAGGCUCGAAAGUGUGGGUAUCAAACAGGAUUAGAUACCCCAGUAGUC
This 460-nucleotide ribosomal RNA is filed under the name uncultured bacterium. RNAcentral's name for it is "partial 16S ribosomal RNA". It matches the Rfam family "Bacterial small subunit ribosomal RNA", at positions 338 to 795 of the family's 1533-position model. The record is from RNAcentral.